AUAUUUUACUAAAUUAGAAAUAUAUUAAAAGCAUCAAAACUCACAUUUGAUAUUUAUAUAUACACUAAAAAUUAUAUAAUAAUAAAUAAUACAAAAUUAGAAAUAAAAGUUAUAUGAUACCUAUAUAUAAAUGUAUAUAUUAAUCAAUCAAUUUUUUUUACUUAAAAAGUAGGAUUAAUUGCAUACAGUAUCCUGUAAAUAUAGCGAAUUAUAAAUAUAUUCCCACAAAUUCAGCUUUCUUAUGUUAUCCUGCAAAAGUUUCAAUAUUUUCAAAUAUGUCAUUGUCGUUAUAAUCCGUUAGAAAAUUUUAAUUAACCACAAGUAAAAUAUUUAAUCCUAAUUAGUCAAUGAGAUAAUUGACAUUUUUAUCCUUCUUAUAUUAUACCUUCUCCUCUCAAUCAAAUCUCUAGCUAUGGAAACUCUUCUUCUUCUUUAUCUUUCUUUUCCUCUUCCUCUUUCUCUCUCUCCUUCAUACUAGUUUCGAAUCUGUAGCAAGAAUUUCCCCCUUUCCAUUCAUCCGGACGCAUGUUGCUUCACCCAUGUCGUUUCGUGUUGCUUCCUUAUUUAAUUUCCUCGAUUAUUUUUUCUUAUUUUGCUGAAAAAAAUUUAGGAGAAAAGUAGUGAGAGAAGAGAUUGCAACAAUACUGAAUUAGGCUGGGUUUUAAAGAGAAAGAAUAUAAGAAAGUAAAGUUUUUUCUACAAGAUUAUAGCAGUUGAGAUUUUUGGAGGGACAUAUUUAUUAUGGUGAAAUUGACAUUUCACCUAUCUACUAUUAAAAAAUAAGCAAUUCUCUAACAAUAAGAAAUUAGAGGAACAAAUAUGAAUAUCACUGAACUUUUAUAUGAAAAAGAAUUAAAAGUAAAUGAACUUUGUAGAAAUACAUUUGCUAUUCAAUAUAUUUUCCAAGAGCGGUAUACAAUUAACUCUAAAAAAUAUAAUACAAAUAUUUUUUAAAAAAUUAUGAUAAAAUGGCUUAACUAACAAAUAUAAUUAUAAUUAAUUGAUUUGAGACACACAAAGCUGGUUUUAGAUUUAUUUUUGGUUAAUUUCAUGCAGGUCCCUGCAAACAUAGUGAAUUAUAAAUAUAUUCUUAUAAAGUUCAACUUUCAAAUAUGUUCCUCUCAUUUAUUAUCGUUAAACCAUUGUUUAUUUUAUAAGUGAAAUUAUAUUUUUGCCAUCACGAAUAUAUCUUCCUAAAAACCUCAAUUAUUAAUUGAAGAAAGAUAGAAAAGUCAAUUCACCGUAUUAAGUAAUUAGGAUUAAAUAUUUUUUUAUUUAUGAUUAAUUAAUUUUUUCUAACGAAUACUAGCAGUAGACAUAUCUAAAAAUAUUAGAAUUUUUAUAAAGAUAAUAUAUAAAAAUUAAACUUUAUAAAAAUAUAUUUAUAGGGACAUAUACGAAAGUAACAUUUUUUUUUUUUUUU
This 1423-nucleotide long non-coding RNA is filed under the name Ananas comosus (pineapple). Its description in RNAcentral is "long non-coding RNA (ACOM_LNC020115)". Lineage: Eukaryota; Viridiplantae; Streptophyta; Magnoliopsida; Poales; Bromeliaceae. The record is from RNAcentral.